This 371-nucleotide ribosomal RNA is filed under the name uncultured bacterium. RNAcentral describes it as "bacterial SSU rRNA". It matches the Rfam family "Bacterial small subunit ribosomal RNA", at positions 524 to 898 of the family's 1533-position model. The record is from RNAcentral.
UACGGAGGAUCCGAGCGUUAUCCGGAUUUAUUGGGUUUAAAGGGAGCGUAGGCGGAUGUUUAAGUCAGUUGUGAAAGUUUAAGGCUCAACCUUGAAAUUGCAGUUGAUACUGGAUAUCUUGAGUACAUUGAAUGUGGCGGAAUUCGUGGUGUAGCGGUGAAAUGCUUAGAUAUCACGAAGAACUCCAAUUGCGAAGGCAGCUCACAGUAAUGUAACUGACGCUGAUGCUCGAAAGUGUGGGUAUCAAACAGGAUUAGAUACCCUGGUAGUCCACACAGUAAACGAUGAAUACUCGCUGUUUGCGAUAUACAGUAAGCGGCCAAGCGAAAGCGUUAAGUAUUCCACCUGGGGAGUACGCCGGCAACGGUGAA